UAUUACGUGUACACACCGGGUCCAUCGUUAUGGUGGCCUCGACCUGGACGUUUGCGGACACCGUGACACCGUCUCGAUAUUUAUCAGCAAGAUUACACUUUACAUAGAACCGUAGAGACGUCGUAGACGAAACUCAGUUCAAGGAAGACGGGACCGGAACGCAGUUGUCUAAAGUUUCGUGAGUUACGGAGCAUUUCAACAAUUUGAGGUAGCAGAACUUCUGGAGAAGACACUCUGUUCAUGACUAUUUUCAUACUUCGAUGUUCAAAACGUUCUGUAUUGUCUCUUAAAGAGCCACCUAUGCCACUAACCAUCACCACCUAAGCGUCACCAAGUGUUCCCUUUCGAACUUCUACCAACACAUCGACACUUCUUCAAGGUGCUUCAUGAUCUCAUGUUUAGUAAACUCGCACUCCAACUGACAGACUAUUCCUAAUUCGUGGUUUUAUAUCAUGCUACAUAGCCAAUAAUACGACCUCUUGUUUUUUUCUACCACUACUACCUGCCGUUCUUAGAAAACCAUCCUCAAGCUGUGGUUGACUAAACAAAGCUCAUAGAAGUGUUACCUUCGGAAGCGUCCUUAGAACUACCAUACUGUCCACGGGCCGGAUAAAAAUACACAUUUAAAGAGGUUUAAUAUAGGGGGGGGGG
This 651-nucleotide ribosomal RNA is filed under the name Triticum aestivum (bread wheat). RNAcentral describes it as "partial small subunit ribosomal RNA". Lineage: Eukaryota; Viridiplantae; Streptophyta; Magnoliopsida; Poales; Poaceae. The record is from RNAcentral.